This is an RNA transcript of Brassica napus (rape), 2419 nucleotides long. RefSeq lists it as uncharacterized. The transcript is spliced from 7 exons. Lineage: Eukaryota; Viridiplantae; Streptophyta; Magnoliopsida; Brassicales; Brassicaceae. The record is from RefSeq and is a predicted model, not a curated record.
AAAAAAAAAAAAAAGAGAGUUCAGUCCAUAAAAGAAAAAACAAUAUUUUUAUUUUCAUUAUCAUAAACCAUGAAGUUGGAAAAUAAAUUCAACUUUUGCAUCGAAAACAAAACACAAAACUAUUUUAGGAAAACAUCAUAUAAAAAGCACCGAUAAAUAAAUUGUAUGUUCUGCUAAUUGAGGGUGUGAUUGAAAGUCACUUUUAGCGUAACUUUUGUAGAGUAAAAAAUGUUUUGACUGAGUUGCGUGAAUAAACACCCAAUCAAGAUAAAAGGAGUUACACUGAUAUAGAGUAAAUGUUUUGUCUUUUUAUGUUUUUUGUAGUUAAGUUUUUCUUCUCUUUUUUCUAGAGUAAACGUUUACUCUGAAGUUUACCUUUUCCUCUUAUUUCAUGUUCCACUCAUUUUCGUCAUUUUUUAUUCUUCCAAAUUGCGCUGAUAUUACCAAUCACACUCUAAAUAUUAUGACAUUCCAACUUUCCACAAUUCAUAUGAUUCACGAGUAAUCACCUAUAUCUUGUCAGUAUUUAGUUUGUUAACAUUUAUAUUUAGGGAUAUAUAUUACAACUAUAAAGAAAAAAAACUAUAAAGAAAGAAAUAAAUUUUAACAUCUCAAGUCAUUAAGCAUUAAUACAAAUUUAUAUUCUACAAUGAUAGGAUUGGGCACAAACUGGAUUUGUGAAAAUAGUAACCUAAUAAUAAUAAUAUUUGGAUAUUUAGAAACUAAUAAUAAUAUUUGGAUAAUUUAUGAAACUUAUGUAACUUAUCAAACUUCAUUACUUUUGGAUAAAUUGUUCAUCAUACAUUUACUAAUUCUUAUAUUUUGCAAUACUGUAUCUUUAUAUAUAAAAGAGACUUUUAAUCACUCCUGGUGCUGCCAAUAAAGAUGACACGUCAGAAAUAGGAAGCCUCCCGCACUGACACGUCAGUUGCUAGAACGCUCCGUACCAUUCUUUUCUUCUCCGGAAUCCGUUAGGCUUACGUUCUUAUUAUGUCUGAACAUUUUGCAUUAUUAAGCCCAUGGCCUUUUUUUUUAGCGACUCCCAUAGACUAUUUUAUUAAAGCAUGAUAUGAUGUAUUGCGAAACGGUGCGUUUAUUAUCCUGUCUUUUAUCUCUCUACCAUCUCUGUCGUAGGCGAUUUAGGGUUUCCAUUGAAACUGAGCAUUCUUCCUCCUGAUCCAGCGAUUAAUCGGCGCCGUAUCGACUCUAUAGUUUCCAGCGAACUGUUCAUCUUCUUCGUACUGAUCAAGUAAUCAAUGGAAACAUUGCUAUUGAAUUCCCUCUUUAAAUCCACCUUCCACGAUCUCUCUUCAAUUCCACUUUAGCUCUUUAAAGACGGUGGUGGUUCCACUAUAAAAAGGUUAGCAUCUCUACAAUCUAUAGCAUCCUAUCAAUUUGUUAAAACAAAACAAUCUCCUUAUUUUCUGAAAAAAUGGCUAAUGCUCGAGUUUUCCUUUCAGAUUUGAAAUUCUGUAGAUGUUUUUCCACGGUGGAGGUGGAGGUUACGCUAUUGCGUUUCUAGGAGGCGGGGAACAUCAGGCGAGGUGAUGAACUGAUGUCCGUGGAUAUGCUCCUGCUUGAUUCGAAUGUGACUACAAACCGACACUCAUGUAAGCUACCGUCAACGUCCAACAAACACUCAUUUAUUCCAGGUCAUAUAUAUAUAACUGGUGAACUAACUGCUGUAAAGAGGCAUGUAAGCGAUCCUCCAUAAGACAAAGACCGUGUCAUGGCAACCAUAAAAUUGAUAGUGACGUGUCUUUCACCUUGAGUGUGUUCCACUAUCAAGUUGUGUGGUUUCACAAAACUUAAAAGCUUUAGGGUGGAUCCACGAGUUUUUGUUGCAACAAACUAUAAUCCCAAGAUUGUGGGAGGACGAUUUUUCUAAAUGCCACAUCAGGGACUCACUAUGACAAGGAGACUGAUGCAUGAGAGAGUUAAAUUUAAAAUUUCUUCACAAAUGAUACUGGGAACACAUCAGCAGCUUCUUUGUUGGGGAUUUUCAAAGGUUGAGCCUAUGAAAAUAGCGGAGCUUAACCAGUUUAUCAUCACUGCUCAGCAUCAGUCCAUUAAAUCUAUUUGCACUGGAAAGGUGACCGUAUCAAGCCAGAAAAAGGAUGGUGCUACAUCUUGGACCCUGGAGAUCACAUGCGUGGGAUCAGUUUCUCUCUCAGCGAAGAUGUUUGGAGGUGGGAAUGAGAAGGAGAAUAACUCUGGCAGCAAAACUUCAACUGGUCUCAAACUGAAAAAAGCUCAGACCACAACAUCUGCCAAGGUGAAGAGUAUGCUGGAGCUGGUCACAUUAAUACCUGUUUGAAAAUACUUAUGAAUCAUUAUCCCUGUUCCCCCUAUUCUCUAUUGUGUUUUCUUCAGAAGAUCUUAUAAAUUAAGUUCAAUAAUCCAAUGGUUAUUUUACUCA